Molecule: long non-coding RNA, 2547 nt
Organism: Labeo rohita (rohu)
Lineage: Eukaryota; Metazoa; Chordata; Actinopteri; Cypriniformes; Cyprinidae
Exons: 10
Source: RefSeq, a predicted model, not a curated record
UUUGGCUGCCAGCCGGCCCGUAUCAGCACACAUUUGUGUAUCCGUUGAUUCAUGUCGGUAGAUUCCUGCUGGACGGAGCGGGGCUUCAGUAGCUGCCGGGAGGCCUGAGAGAAGCGGUGGGAGGGCUGAUUUUGAGGGAGAUUUCCAGACACAUUUUUCGCCACAUUUGUGGACUGCAUUUUAGUCGCAAACACAGGUCACGAUGACUCCAGACUGAUUUUUGUGGGAAAUAAUCUGCUUGUGUGCGUUUGAAAAUGAGUCUACGUUAAUUACGAUGAAAGGUUUCUCUGGCAUCGGCGAAGGGAAAUGAGCUCCACGUGUGGGAAAGAGCUGGAGAUGAAAAUUGGAUCAUCCUUUAGAGGAUUUCAGGAAGAGGUGGAAGAAUUGGAGCUGGCACCGCAUACAGAGAUGACACCGACCAGACGACGACCUUUCCCUCAAUCUUCUUCGAUUUGAUGCACGAUGUGAAGUGUUUUGGACAGCUGCCGUGUUGAAACUUUUCCACAGCUUGCUGAGUUGAGUUGUGAGUGAGAUAUCAUAAACCUUGGCACUGCUUUCCUGGUUCAUCGAGGGGAGGAAUAUAUUUAUGCAAGGAACAUAUGCAUGCUAAUGGCACUGUGCCACUCUAUGGAAGCUGUCAUUCUGAGAAGCAUCACAAAGGCCAAAAAAGGAGAAGUAGUGAGGAAAUGUUAUGCCAUAUGCUAACAAAUAUAUCACAGAGGCGAAGGAGCAGUUGGAACUGAAUGGAGAGAUGGAUUCAGAGGGGUACGAGUCGCUGAAACUGGCACGUACAGUAUUGAUCAAAAGCAGCUGGUGCUGAUGAGAGAAAUGAUAGCCGUGCUGAUGCUGGAACUGUAAUAGAAGAGGCAUGAGAGGAUGUGCAAGUGUAAAGAAACUGCUGUGCUGGGAGAUAAGGCCAGUUUCAUCCCAGAGUUCUGCCCUUCUGCCAUCUUCAGAAUGACUUUGCAAGCUCUACUGCGGUUCCGCUGGGACUGUGGUGGCCCACAGAGGGGAUUGGAUUUUGAUUGGAGGCAGGGCUGGAUGAAAUGAGGCAGAGGCUCGGAGGCCGGUCAGCCUGCGGGGAAGCGGAUGGGGGAAAAGGGCCCGCCCUGCAGGAGCAGAUGGGGGCGCUGAUUUCCAUGAUGUAAAUGAGACUCUGGAUGGCCAUAAUGGAACUUAAUAACCUCACUAGAGCCUUCAGCAAGAUAAAACUGUUUGUUUGCAUGUGUGUGCGUGUGUUUGCACACAAACCAUCUAUCUACCCAUCAUGCAGUUUGCAAAUGAGCCUUGUCCAGUUCACCGUGGACCUGCUGAACACAUUUCUGGGGUUCUUUGAAAACCCUUGAGGUCAGGAUUUACAUGCAGGGGUCUUGUCCUAGAUGAGCAAUAAGACGCCUUCGCUCCUGAGCUGAAGAAAGCUCUGGUUUUAAUUACGCUCGACCAAGGGGCCCCGAUACUCCCUCUGAAAGCGUUUGAUCUUCAAAGGGCCCUCCAUGUCACCAAAAAACCCAAGCAGAUUUGGUUCUCCUUCAGCAUCCGCUUCCUGGCUGAGGUCGCUGUAGGAGUGUGUGCAUGAAAAGCAUCUUCAGUGAAGUUCAAAUCUCCAGAACAUAUACACACGUGUGUCCUCGGGGCCACUCUGAGCUUUAAUGGGGUCCGCGCUUGGAUCUUUAAUUAAUGCACGCAGAUAAACAGCCGUGGGCCUUGGAAAACUCGUCUUUGUGUAACACCGCCAAAGGUUUAAGCCCCCGAGCCGUUCUCUUCCUCCAUCUGGGAACGGGGCUGAUCUUCGACGCUUAACUCUGCAUCGCGAGUUCACGGCGAAUGGCUUUCUCGUCGACGCUGCCCUCAGAUGGCAUUGUUUGAAGUUCGUAUCCCGAAGCCCUGGCAUCCUUCCUGCCUCGGCGGGUGGCGGUAACACAGCGUCGACUUGGAAACAACUCAUUGGCAAGUGCUUUUCCCGGGCUUGCUGGCUUCCUAGUUUUGGCCAGACAAUCCACCGCAGCCACAUUAAACACUUACCACUGCAACAGCAGGACUAGCGCGAGUCAAAGAUGAAGAAGACGCCGCUCAGGAUGACUGCGCUUCAAACGGCCUCGGAUUACGGGGUCUUAAACGGUCCCGGCGAAAAUAUGAACAUACGGACAAGCUGUCAUCGAGGGCGCCGCUGAUAAAGCCUGUGAAGACAUCGUGGCUCGGGGCAAAACCUGGCCUGCUGAAAGUGUCCUAAUCUGUUCCCAGAGAGCCUAUCGCCAUCCCUAUUAGAGCGGGAACAAAUGUUUGGAGACAGACAUUGUAUCUGCUUGGCCGGUCAGAGGAGUGGCUCUUGCCAGGAGUGGUCUUGUGUGACACGAGCCGACAGCGUUAUCAGUCCAGGUGCGUGUGCGAGGCAACCGCAGCAUGCAAACUGCAGAAACAAGCUGUCGCCCACUCAGCAAGAGCAGAGGAUGGCUGUAGUGGCAGCUCAGUCAGUGUGUAUAAAGGCCAUAACGCUUGUGCAAAGGCCUGGCAUGUUAGCGCAUACUAUGCACAGUAUGCCUAUUUUCU